RNAcentral lists this ribosomal RNA (450 nucleotides) under uncultured bacterium. RNAcentral describes it as "bacterial SSU rRNA". It matches the Rfam family "Bacterial small subunit ribosomal RNA", at positions 335 to 799 of the family's 1533-position model. The record is from RNAcentral.
ACUCCUACGGGAGGCAGCAGUGGGGAAUAUUGCGCAAUGGGCGAAAGCCUGACGCAGCAACGCCACGUGUGUGAUGAAGGCCCUUGGGUCGUAAAGCACUGUUAGGAGGGAAGAAUUUUGACGGUACCUCCAGAGAAAGCACCGGCUAACUCCGUGCCAGCAGCCGCGGUAAUACGGAGGGUGCAAACGUUGCUCGGAAUCAUUGGGCGUAAAGCGUACGUAGGCGGCCUACCAAGUCUGAUGUGAAAGCCCGGGGGCUCAACCUCGGAAUGCCAUUGGAAACUGGUAGACUUGAGAGCAGGAGGGGCAAGUGGUAUUUCUGGUGUAGGGGUGAAAUCCGUAGAGAUCAGAAGGAACACCGGUGGCGAAGGCGACUUGCUGGACUGUAUCUGACGCUGAUGUACGAAAGCGUGGGGAGCAAACAGGAUUAGAUACCCUGGUAGGAUAGCG